This 497-nucleotide ribosomal RNA is filed under the name uncultured bacterium. RNAcentral describes it as "partial 16S ribosomal RNA". It matches the Rfam family "Bacterial small subunit ribosomal RNA", at positions 28 to 507 of the family's 1533-position model. The record is from RNAcentral.
GAUGAACGCUGGCGGCGUGCUUAACACAUGCCAGUCGAGCGAACAGACGAGGAUCUUGCUCCUCUGACGUUAGCGGCGGGCGGGUGAGGAACACGUGGAUAACCUACCUAUAAGACUGGGAUAACUUCGGGAAACCGGAUCUAAUAUCGGAUAAUAUAUUGAACCGCAUGGUUCAAUAGUGAAAGACGGUUUUGCUGUCACUUAUAGAUGGAUCCGCGCCGCAUUAGCUAGUUGGUAAGGUAACGGCUUACCAAGGCAAGCAUGCGUAGCCGACCUGAGAGGGCGAUCAGCCACACUGGGACUGAGACACGGCCCAGACUCCUACGGGAGGCAGCAGUGGGGAAUCUUCCGCAAUGGGCGAAAGCCUGACGCAGCAACGCCGCGUGAGUGAUGAAGGUCUUCGGAUCGUAAAACGCUGUUAUUCGGGAAGAACAAAUGUGUAAGUAUACAUGCACGUCUUGACGGUACCGAAUGAAAAAGCAACGGCUAACUACGUG